Molecule: non-coding RNA, 139 nt
Organism: Triticum aestivum (bread wheat)
Lineage: Eukaryota; Viridiplantae; Streptophyta; Magnoliopsida; Poales; Poaceae
Source: Rfam
CCCAUCACAGAGAACGAACUCGUCUCCCACAUCAUAUCUGGUCUUGACAUGGACUAUCGACCAAUCAUCUCUGCACUUGAGGUGCGUCUUGAUGAUGUCACCGUCGAUGAGCUCUUCAACAUGGUGGCUACCUUUGAUC